ACUACAGGCCGGGUUAUCGCUUUCCUGCAAAGGAAGGAGGAAAGUCCGGACAGCACAGAGCAAUGCACCGGUGAAGAGCCGGCUGACCUUCGGGUUAAGAGACAGUGCCACAGAAAAUGACCGCCGAUGCCGUAUUUAUAGCCAGGGCAAUUGCCUUUGCUGCAAGUACGGCAGGUAAGGAUGAAAAUGUGGGGUAAGAGCCCACGGCUUUUGGUGGUAACACCAAUCGCGGGUAAACCUUGCAUGCUGAAAUGCCACAUAUAGUACCCUUAAGGGCUGCUCGUCCGGGGACUGGCUGCAAAGCCGGGACAGGGUACAGGGUAGGCAGAUGGAUUCCGCCGGGUAACUGGCGGAACAGAUAAAUGAUAGCCAUAACCUGCCUUCGCUAAGGCUACGGCAGGUGACACAGAAUCCGGCUUACAGGCCUGUAGUUUUU
This 436-nucleotide RNase P RNA is filed under the name Chitinophagaceae bacterium. RNAcentral describes it as "RNase P RNA component class A". It matches the Rfam family "Bacterial RNase P class A". From Rfam's summary of the family: Ribonuclease P (RNase P) is a ubiquitous endoribonuclease, found in archaea, bacteria and eukarya as well as chloroplasts and mitochondria. Lineage: Bacteria; Pseudomonadati; Bacteroidota; Chitinophagia; Chitinophagales; Chitinophagaceae. The record is from RNAcentral.